This 500-nucleotide ribosomal RNA is filed under the name uncultured bacterium. RNAcentral's name for it is "partial 16S ribosomal RNA". It matches the Rfam family "Bacterial small subunit ribosomal RNA", at positions 29 to 523 of the family's 1533-position model. The record is from RNAcentral.
AUUGAACGCUGGCGGCAUGCCUUACACAUGCAAGUCGAACGGCAGCACGGGGGCAACCCUGGUGGCGAGUGGCGUACGGGUGAGUAAUGCAUCGGAACGUGUCCUCUUGUGGGGGAUAACCAGUCGAAAGACUGGCUAAUACCGCAUGAGCUCGAGAGAGGAAAGCGGGGGACCGCAAGGCCUCGCGCGAGAGGAGCGGCCGAUGUCCGAUUAGCGAGUUGGCGGGGUAACGGCCCACCAAGGCGACGAUAGGUAGCUGGUCGGAGGGGACGACCAGCCACACUGGGACUGAUGCACGGCCCAGACUCCUACGGGAGGCAGCAGUGGGGAAUUUUGGACAAUAGGCGCAAGCCUGAUCCAGCCAUGCCGCGUGGGUGAAGAAGGCCUUCGGGUUGUAAAGCACUUUCGGGCGGAACGAAAUCGCGCGGAUGAACAAUCCGCGUGGAUGACGGUACCGCAAGAAGAAGCACCGGCUAACUACGUGCCAGCCGCCGCGGUAA